Molecule: transfer RNA, 63 nt
Filed under: Charaea flaviventris
Lineage: Eukaryota; Metazoa; Arthropoda; Insecta; Coleoptera; Chrysomelidae
Description: tRNA-Tyr
Source: RNAcentral
GGUAAAAUGGCUGAGGUUAGGCAAUAAAUUGUAAAUUUAUGAACGAAUUAUAUUCUUUUACCA